UAUGUACUUAGGGCACGAUUUAGGAUUACGGAGAGAUUGCGUUACGUGCGGUAACAAACGACGAUAGAAAAAUAUUUUGUUUGGUUCCAUGUAUGAUGUUACGUUACACAUAUUGCGGUUAGUCGGUUACAAUAUAUUUUCUGCGUUACCAUAAAAAACGCAGAAAUAUAUCCCUAUAUAUUUUUUCUCAUCUCUAUUCUAUCUAAUAGCGUUAGAUAAAUAUCAAUACCCAACUAAGCCUUAAACCCGUAAUCAUUUAUAUUAAAGCGGGUUGACAAAAAAUUUAAUGAUUGGCAUUUAAGAUUCUAAAUAAAAUUUUAUUACUUCACAUUUUUAGUUGAAUUUAUUUCUAAAGAAAAAUUGAGCAAAUAAGAUAGCUUAAAAUGCGUAUAUAUAGAUCAUAUUUGAAUUCAAUUUUGAAUAU
RNAcentral lists this long non-coding RNA (424 nucleotides) under Ananas comosus (pineapple). Its description in RNAcentral is "long non-coding RNA (ACOM_LNC024816)". The record is from RNAcentral. Lineage: Eukaryota; Viridiplantae; Streptophyta; Magnoliopsida; Poales; Bromeliaceae.